AAUCAAAUCAAUGGACAAAGAGUAAAGUGAGGCAAAUCAGGGUUCAAUGCAGAUUUCAACAAUUUAAUCAGACCAUGAAAUCAACAACCAUAUUCAAAACAAUUAUGAUAAAAGUGACUCAGCAAACAAUUUAAAUUCCAAAAUGAAUGCAAGAGCAGAUUAAGAUGGAGUCAAACACAAUGACUAUGAUUCAGCAAAAAGUUGAUCAAAUGAAUGCAACAAAUUCAAUAAUCAGUUUUAAUGUAUUAAAACUGUUUAUCUUGGUCC
This 267-nucleotide long non-coding RNA is filed under the name Vigna radiata. RNAcentral's name for it is "long non-coding RNA (VRAD_LNC014675)". The record is from RNAcentral. Lineage: Eukaryota; Viridiplantae; Streptophyta; Magnoliopsida; Fabales; Fabaceae.